UGAAGGAACGGUCACUGGUGGUGGUACUACUGUAGCUGGUGCUGCCGCUGGAGCAGUCGGAGGUGGAACUAUCUGCUCUGGUACGGUACUCUGUGGCGGGGUGACCCUCUCACACAACCUCUCCAAUAACUCCCCUUGCCGCCUCGUCACUUCUGUCAGAGCGGCCAACUGAGCACUCAAGUCGGGGGAUGCGCUCGCCUCUGGUCGUGUACUCUGCUCCUGCCGGGCACUCGGCUCUGCCUGCUCAGGCAUCUCGGAGGGUCCCACACGAUCCUGCGUCAACUGUGCCCGGUCCCGUGUCGACGGUCGGCCUCGACGACGAUACAUAGCUGCAAAAAUAAAACAGGGUUAGAUAACACAAAUACUCUCGACCCAAUCAACGAAAGUCCGGAAGGCAGCCCCUGUUUCUCCUCAAAAUUAUGUUGUCUGCAGCCAACAUAAUUUUGCAGGCUAGAACAGGCACUCCUCCAAUCACUCACUCCCCUCAGGGUGACUUACAACAACUAAUCAUUGACUUUCGUAAUAAAUCACGCCUCUCCCGUCUUGCUUUCCUAAGGUUUGCCAAACUUAGGUUUCCUAGGUCCCAAUGACCUAAUGCUAAUCUCUGAUACCAACUUAAUCUGUCACGCCCCGGAUUACACGUUCCCCGGGCACGCCGACAAAUCCGCCGUAUACAAAAUUUUUUUUUCUGUAUACGAAGCGAUAGCUGUCUCUGUAAAAUAUACAAUACUACAAACAGUAGUGUAGAGCUGCUACCUGCAGCUGGUGAUCCUCUAGCACAGCGUUUCGUCGGGUAGGGCUCUAGCUCGCGACGGCCUUGCCUCGAUCCGCCUCUGAAGACGCAGCAGCCGGAACAGUAGGCUCUGCAAAACACAGGAUAACAACUGGGCGUGAGAACUACUGUAAAAAUAAGUAGUCCUCAGUGGGUAC
Molecule: long non-coding RNA, 930 nt
Filed under: Ananas comosus (pineapple)
Lineage: Eukaryota; Viridiplantae; Streptophyta; Magnoliopsida; Poales; Bromeliaceae
Description: long non-coding RNA (ACOM_LNC026126)
Source: RNAcentral